GUGAAAGGCUUAUCAAUUCUAAAGAUAUCUGGAAUAAUUUUAAAUGUAUCUAGUACAAAAUAAAAAUUUAAGUAAAAAAAUGUUAAGGUUUUUUUAUAUUAGUAUAGUAAACUAUUUUUAAAAAUAUGAAUUAAUCUUCCAAUAUCUAAAAUUACCAAAAAUUCUUUAUUUCAAUAUCUAAACAAUAAAAUUAAAUUCUGCUAACCUAAGUAAAAAUAAACUCUGUUAAAAUUAGUAUAUUAUUUUAUAUUUAAAUAAGGAACUCGGCUAAUUAUUUAUUCAUCUGUUUAUCAAAAACAUAGUCUUAUGAAUUAAUAUAAGAUGCAACCUGCCCAUUGAUAUAUUUUUAACGGCCGCAGUACCUUGACUGUGCUAAGGUAGCAUAAUAAAUUGACUCUUAAUUGGGGCCUUGAAUGAAAGGAUUAAUGAGUAAUUUCUGUCUUAUAAAUAAUUUAUUGUAAAUUACUUAAAAGGUGAAAAUUCCUUUAAUAUAUACAAUAGACGAGAAGACCCCAGGAGUUUAAAAUUUUUGUUGGGGCGACAGUAUAGCAUUAAACCUAUAAAUAAAAUAAUUUAUUGAACGAAUAAUUUUAAUUAAAAAUAAACUACCCUGGGGAUA
RNAcentral lists this ribosomal RNA (619 nucleotides) under Nitor medioximus. RNAcentral's name for it is "partial 16S ribosomal RNA". The stretch from base 255 to 445 matches the Rfam family "Bacterial large subunit ribosomal RNA", at positions 1705 to 2024 of the family's 2925-position model. Lineage: Eukaryota; Metazoa; Mollusca; Gastropoda; Stylommatophora; Helicarionidae. The record is from RNAcentral.